RNAcentral lists this non-coding RNA (21 nucleotides) under Arabidopsis thaliana (thale cress). The record is from RNAcentral. Lineage: Eukaryota; Viridiplantae; Streptophyta; Magnoliopsida; Brassicales; Brassicaceae.
UUGCAGCACUGUCAUGGUACC